This 468-nucleotide ribosomal RNA is filed under the name uncultured bacterium. Its description in RNAcentral is "partial 16S ribosomal RNA". It matches the Rfam family "Bacterial small subunit ribosomal RNA", at positions 29 to 507 of the family's 1533-position model. The record is from RNAcentral.
AGUGAACGCUGGCGGUAGGCCUAACACAUGCAAGUCGAACGGCAGCACAGUAAGAGCUUGCUCUUACGGGUGGCGAGUGGCGGACGGGUGAGGAAUACAUCGGAAUCUACUUUUUCGUGGGGGAUAACGUAGGGAAACUUACGCUAAUACCGCAUACGACCUACGUGUGAAAGCAGGGGAUCUUCAGCCAUGGUGCGAUUGAAUGGGCCGAUGUCGGAUUAGCUAGUUGGCGGGGUAAAGGCCCACCAAGGCGACGAUCAGUAGCUGGUCUGAGAGGAUGAUCAGCCACAAUGGGACUGAGACACGGACCAUACUCCUACAGGAGGCAGCAGUAGGGAAGUUUGCGCAAUGGGCGAAAGCAUGACGCAGAAACGCCGCGUGAACGAUUAAGCCCGUCGGGGUGUAAAGUGCGGUCAGUGGGGACGAAACUGGACGGGACCCACAGAGGAAGAACCGGCUAACUCCGUG